Molecule: ribosomal RNA, 600 nt
Filed under: uncultured bacterium
Lineage: Bacteria
Description: bacterial SSU rRNA
Rfam family: Bacterial small subunit ribosomal RNA
Source: RNAcentral
GUAGUCCACGCUGUAAACGAUGUCGAUUUGGAGGUUGUGCCCUUGAGGCGUGGCUUCCGGAGCUAACGCGUUAAAUCGACCGCCUGGGGAGUACGGCCGCAAGGUUAAAACUCAAAUGAAUUGACGGGGGCCCGCACAAGCGGUGGAGCAUGUGGUUUAAUUCGAUGCAACGCGAAGAACCUUACCUACUCUUGACAUCCAGAGAACUUAGCAGAGAUGCUUUGGUGCCUUCGGGAACUCUGAGACAGGUGCUGCAUGGCUGUCGUCAGCUCGUGUUGUGAAAUGUUGGGUUAAGUCCCGCAACGAGCGCAACCCUUAUCCUUUGUUGCCAGCGGUUCGGCCGGGAACUCAAAGGAGACUGCCAGUGAUAAACUGGAGGAAGGUGGGGAUGACGUCAAGUCAUCAUGGCCCUUACGAGUAGGGCUACACACGUGCUACAAUGGCAUAUACAAAGAGAAGCGACCUCGCGAGAGCAAGCGGACCUCAUAAAGUAUGUCGUAGUCCGGAUUGGAGUCUGCAACUCGACUCCAUGAAGUCGGAAUCGCUAGUAAUCGUAGAUCAGAAUGCUACGGUGAAUACGUUCCCGGGCCUUGUACACUC